This 86-nucleotide non-coding RNA is filed under the name Geosporobacter subterraneus. RNAcentral describes it as "c-di-GMP sequence". It matches the Rfam family "c-di-GMP-I riboswitch aptamer". Rfam says of the family: GEMM was predicted in a large-scale screen for bacterial structured RNA regulatory elements. Genes associated with GEMM are involved in a diverse array of functions, including chemotaxis regulation, signal transduction, secretion and chitin. Lineage: Bacteria; Bacillati; Bacillota; Clostridia; Peptostreptococcales; Thermotaleaceae. The record is from RNAcentral. RNAcentral also lists the same sequence under 1 other name.
UAUGGAAAACGGCACACUUAUCUAAAGGUAAGGUCGCAAAGCUAUGGGUCUAAGGGAUGCAUUCCUAUGAUUGCCAAGCCGCCAAA